RNAcentral lists this transfer RNA (76 nucleotides) under Rhodopseudomonas palustris. Its description in RNAcentral is "tRNA-Trp". It matches the Rfam family "tRNA". Rfam says of the family: Transfer RNA (tRNA) molecules are approximately 80 nucleotides in length. Their secondary structure includes four short double-helical elements and three loops (D, anti-codon, and T loops). Lineage: Bacteria; Pseudomonadati; Pseudomonadota; Alphaproteobacteria; Hyphomicrobiales; Nitrobacteraceae. The record is from RNAcentral. RNAcentral also lists the same sequence under 3 other names.
AGGGGUGUAGCUCAGUUGGUAGAGCACCGGUCUCCAAAACCGGUUGUCGUAGGUUCGAGCCCUACCGCCCCUGCCA